CAGGGAGACAACAAAAUGUUUAAUAUUAUUAUUUUGUCACCUUAGGUCGAUCGGUAUCUCACGUUUUUAAUUUAUUAAGAAUUUCAUUUCCUAAGUUUUUCUAGGUCACACCCAUUAUUUUUCCUGGGCCAUUAGCUCAGGUGGUUAGAGCGCACCCCUGAUAAGGGUGAGGUCCCUGGUUCAAGUCCAGGAUGGCCCAUAUCUCUAUGUUGGGGGUAUAGCUCAGUUGGUAGAGCGCCUGCUUUGCAAGCAGGAUGUCAGCGGUUCGAGUCCGCUUACCUCCACUGAUCACCACCUCUUCCAUAAUCGGUAGAAAGGAAAUUUUUUGAGUUGUGAUCAAAUUCUGAAAGAAUCUAGCUUCCUAAUGAAAUCAUUAAGAUGCUGGACUCAUUGAAUUAAUUUCAUUGUUUUCAGAGAACCUUGACAACUGCAUAGAUUUUUUUUAAAGACAAUAAGCAUCUUUAAUGAUGCAGAUUUAUUAUUUGUGCAAAUGCAUUAAUAACAAUUCUAUUAAGCUGAUGCUUCAAUAUUUGAAGUUAUU
RNAcentral lists this transfer RNA (541 nucleotides) under uncultured Prochlorococcus sp. RNAcentral describes it as "partial 16S-23S ribosomal RNA intergenic spacer". The stretch from base 212 to 284 matches the Rfam family "tRNA". The record is from RNAcentral. Lineage: Bacteria; Bacillati; Cyanobacteriota; Cyanophyceae; Synechococcales; Prochlorococcaceae.